Molecule: non-coding RNA, 207 nt
Organism: Oryza nivara
Lineage: Eukaryota; Viridiplantae; Streptophyta; Magnoliopsida; Poales; Poaceae
Source: Rfam
AAUAAGUGUAGUUUUGCACUAUUCACGUUCAACGUUUGACCAUUCAUCUUAUUUAAAAUUUUUUAUGAUUAGUAUUUUUAUUGCUAUUAGAUGAUAAAACAUAAAUAGUAUUUUAUGUGUGACUAAAUAUUUUUAAAUUUUUCACAAAUUUUUCAAAUAAGACGGACAGUCAAAUAUUAGACACGGAUAUCCACGGCUAUACUUAUU